GAAAUGCGAUAAGUAGUGUGAAUUGCAGAAUUCAGUGAAUCAUCGAAUCUUUGAACGCACAUUGCGCCCCUUGGUAUUCCAUGGGGCAUGCCUGUUCGAGCGUCAUCUGAACCCUCAAGCCCCCCCGGUGUUGCCCCGCCCAUGGCGCGGGCCACGCCCGGCUUGGUGUUGGGUGUCUGUCCCCGCCCCCCGCGCGGACUCGCCCUAAAUGCAUUGGCAGCGGCCACCCGGCUCCUCGCGCAGCACAUUGCGCAGUGGGGCGCGGAGAGGCGCGCGUCCAGCAAGCAAACCCCCCAAGUUUGACCUCGGAUCAGGUAGGGAUACCCGCUGAACUUAA
RNAcentral lists this unclassified non-coding RNA (337 nucleotides) under uncultured Pleosporales. Its description in RNAcentral is "sequence contains ITS1". The stretch from base 1 to 105 matches the Rfam family "5.8S ribosomal RNA", at positions 50 to 154 of the family's 154-position model. Lineage: Eukaryota; Fungi; Ascomycota; Dothideomycetes; Pleosporales. The record is from RNAcentral.